RNAcentral lists this ribosomal RNA (345 nucleotides) under Triticum aestivum (bread wheat). RNAcentral describes it as "partial small subunit ribosomal RNA". The record is from RNAcentral. Lineage: Eukaryota; Viridiplantae; Streptophyta; Magnoliopsida; Poales; Poaceae.
AUGGAGGGAAAACAACAAUGGGACAUGGUGGACCCUGGAUUCAAGCUUUGCGCUCCAGUUUUGAAGAGAGCGGCAGGUAGACCAAGGAAGAGUCGAAUCAGACCUCGCAACAAAGGAGCUGGACUUGGAGCGAGGAAGCGUAAGUGCACAAGGUGUGGUGGGUCUGGUCAUUUCGGUAAGUAUUGUGAUAACACACUAGAUCCAGCGUUCGGAGAGAGUUUCGAUGAAGGCUUCGAUGAAAAUGUUGGUCAGCAGCCGGUUGCCUCAACAGAUGAUGAAAAUGAUGAUCAACAACCAGUUGCAUCAGAUGAGGAUUUUGACGAGGUUCCAAAUGAUGAUGGUCAA